AUCCUUUUUUAAGUGCAUUCCAGAGAGUUUGCAAAGAGGGAUUAGACGGGAUUAGUCACUUCAUAGCAGUGACGAUUUUGGUCUGCCUCUUUGCGCAUAUGCAAAGAGGCUUUUUUAAU
Molecule: non-coding RNA, 119 nt
Organism: Bacillus glycinifermentans
Lineage: Bacteria; Bacillati; Bacillota; Bacilli; Caryophanales; Bacillaceae
Source: Rfam